GAUGAAGAACGCAGCGAAAUGCGAUAAGUAAUGUGAAUUGCAGAAUUCAGUGAAUCAUCGAAUCUUUGAACGCACAUUGCGCCCCUUGGUAUUCCGAGGGGCAUGCCUGUUCGAGCGUCAUUAUAACCCCUCAAGCUCAGCUUGGUGUUGGGGCCUGCUGCACUGGCAGCCCUUAAAAUCAGUGGCGGCGCCAUCUGGCUCUAAGCGUAGUAAUUCUUCUCGCUAUGGAGUCCUGGUGGAUGCUUGCCAUCAACCCCCAAUUUUUCUAUGGUUGACCUCGGAUCAGGUAGGGAUACCCGCUGAACUUAAGCAUAUCAAUACGGAGGA
Molecule: unclassified non-coding RNA, 327 nt
Filed under: soil metagenome
Description: partial contains 5.8S ribosomal RNA, internal transcribed spacer 2, and large subunit ribosomal RNA
Rfam family: 5.8S ribosomal RNA (bases 1-120)
Source: RNAcentral